This 24-nucleotide non-coding RNA is filed under the name Arabidopsis thaliana (thale cress). The record is from RNAcentral. Lineage: Eukaryota; Viridiplantae; Streptophyta; Magnoliopsida; Brassicales; Brassicaceae.
ACGUCGGGUUAUCACCAGAUCCCG